Molecule: ribosomal RNA, 702 nt
Filed under: uncultured bacterium
Lineage: Bacteria
Description: bacterial SSU rRNA
Rfam family: Bacterial small subunit ribosomal RNA
Source: RNAcentral
GGCGAACGGGUGAGUAACGCGUUGGUGACCUGCCCCGAAGUGUGGGAUAACAGUUCGAAAGGACUGCUAAGACCGCAUGCGGUCAUCGGGUUUAGAAGCCGAUGACCAAAGCAGCAAUGCGCUUUGGGAGGGACCUGCGUCCCAUCAGCUAGUUGGUAGGGUAACGGCCUACCAAGGCUACGACGGGUAGGGGACCUGAGAGGGUGACCCCCCACAAUGGAACUGAAACACGGUCCAUACACCUACGGGUGGCAGCAGUAGGGAAUAUUGCACAAUGGGCGAAAGCCUGAUGCAGCAACGCCGCGUGCACGAUGAAGGUCCUCGGAUCGUAAAGUGCUUUUCUGGGAGAUGAGAAAGGACAGUAUCCCAGGAAUAAGUCUCGGCUAACUACGUGCCAGCAGCCGCGGUAAAACGUAGGAGGCAAGCGUUAUCCGGAUUCACUGGGCGUAAAGCGCGUGCAGGCGGUUCGGUAAGUUGGGCGUGAAAUCUCCUGGCUUAACUUGGAGAGGUCGUCCAAUACUAACGGACUAGAGAACAGUAGAGGAAGAUGGAAUUCCCGGUGUAGUGGUGAAAUGCGUAGAUAUCGGGAGGAACACCAGUGGCGAAGGCGGUCUUCUGGACUGUUUCUGACGCUCAGACGCGAAAGCUAGGGUAGUAAACGGGAUUAGAGACCCCGGUAAUCCUAGCCGUAAACGAUGUGAA